Molecule: ribosomal RNA, 1191 nt
Filed under: uncultured bacterium
Lineage: Bacteria
Description: bacterial SSU rRNA
Rfam family: Bacterial small subunit ribosomal RNA
Source: RNAcentral
GCAGAGGGAUAGCCCAGAGAAAUUUGGAUUAAUACCUCAUAGUAUAGCAGUUUCGCAUGAAACCACUAUUAAAGUCACAACGGCAAAAGAUGAGCAUGCGUCCCAUUAGCUAGUUGGUAAGGUAACGGCUUACCAAGGCGACGAUGGGUAGGGGUCCUGAGAGGGAGAUCCCCCACACUGGUACUGAGACACGGACCAGACUCCUACGGGAGGCAGCAGUGAGGAAUAUUGGUCAGUGGGCGCAAGCCUGAACCAGCCAUGCCGCGUGCAGGAUGACGGUCCUAUGGAUUGUAAACUGCUUUUGUACAGGAAGAAACAGUUCUACGUGUAGAGCCUUGACGGUACUGUAAGAAUAAGGAUCGGCUAACUCCGUGCCAGCAGCCGCGGUAAUACGGAGGAUCCAAGCGUUAUCCGGAAUCAUUGGGUUUAAAGGGUCCGUAGGCGGUUUAGUAAGUCAGUGGUGAAAGCCCAUCGCUCAACGGUGGAACGGCCAUUGAUACUGCUAGACUUGAAUUAUUGGGAAGUAACUAGAAUAUGUAGUGUAGCGGUGAAAUGCUUAGAGAUUACAUGGAAUACCAAUUGCGAAGGCAGGUUACUACCAAUGGAUUGACGCUGAUGGACGAAAGCGUGGGGAGCGAACAGGAUUAGAUACCCUGGUAGUCCACGCCGUAAACGAUGGAUACUAGCUGUUGGUAGCAAUAUCAGUGGCUAAGCGAAAGUGAUAAGUAUCCCACCUGGGGAGUACGAACGCAAGUUUGAAACUCAAAGGAAUUGACGGGGGCCCGCACAAGCGGUGGAGCAUGUGGUUUAAUUCGAUGAUACGCGAGGAACCUUACCAAGGCUUAAAUGUAGAUUGACCGGUUUGGAAACAGACCUUUCGCAAGACAAUUUACAAGGUGCUGCAUGGUUGUCGUCAGCUCGUGCCGUGAGGUGUCAGGUUAAGUCCUAUAACGAGCGCAACCCCUGUUGUUAGUUGCCAGCGAGUGAAGUCGGGAACUCUAACGAGACUGCCAGUGCAAACUGUGAGGAAGGUGGGGAUGACGUCAAAUUAUCACGGCCCUUACGCCUUGGGCUACACACGUGCUACAAUGGCCGGUACAGAGAGCAGCCACUUCGUGAGGAGGAGCGAAUCUAUAAAGCCGGUCACAGUUCGGAUCGGAGUCUGCAACUCGACUCCGUGAAGCGGAAUCG